RNAcentral lists this microRNA (22 nucleotides) under Branchiostoma floridae (Florida lancelet). RNAcentral's name for it is "Bfl-Mir-4863_3p (mature (guide))". The record is from RNAcentral. Lineage: Eukaryota; Metazoa; Chordata; Leptocardii; Amphioxiformes; Branchiostomatidae. RNAcentral also lists the same sequence under 1 other name.
AGGGCCAUUUUGUGUUGUCAGC